UGGGGGUCGGCAGCUGCCCUCCAACAGCCACUGCCUCUCCCAGGGCAGAGGCAGAACUUACUUCUAGGGCCUGGUUUCCCUCGAGUCCAGUUGCAAAGAGGGCCAGAAUGGCAGGCAUUGAAUUGAAGUGAGAACUGAAUGUGGCUGGAAAGCUGACUCCCAUCUGUGUGAGAGAGAAGGG
RNAcentral lists this long non-coding RNA (181 nucleotides) under Fukomys damarensis (Damara mole-rat). Its description in RNAcentral is "lncRNA (ENSFDAG00000023045.1)". The record is from RNAcentral. Lineage: Eukaryota; Metazoa; Chordata; Mammalia; Rodentia; Bathyergidae.